CAGCUCUGAAAACGCUUCCAGGCUCAGUCUGCAAGUUGAGAAGCCUCUGAAGUCUUGUCCUGCCUGAGUGCUCCGCUCUGCAAAGGCUCCCAGACUCGAUUGGCAACUUAACCAGCCUCCAAGCUCUUCGGUUUGCCCGUUGUUCCAAUUUAGAGAUGGUUCAUGUAUUUCAAUGUUCCAAACUGCAAUGGGAUGUCGGAGUAGUAGAGCAGCUGCGCCAACGCCUGGGAAAAGGCUCUAUUGAAGAAAGAUGGCCAGAAGAUUCCAGUGAUGGAGAAGGAUUUAUCGAAGAAGGAUGGCAAGAAGUUUCCAAUGAUGGAGAAGGUUUCAAUGAAGAAAUAGAUUUCAGUGAAGAAAGCGGGUAUCCGGGAGACUAAAGCGAGUG
RNAcentral lists this ribosomal RNA (385 nucleotides) under Pinus taeda (loblolly pine). RNAcentral describes it as "partial hypothetical protein". Lineage: Eukaryota; Viridiplantae; Streptophyta; Pinopsida; Pinales; Pinaceae. The record is from RNAcentral.